AAAGGAAUUGACGGGGGCCCGCACAAGCGGAGGAGCAUGUGGUUUAAUUCGAUGAUACGCGAGGAACCUUACCUGGGCUCGAACGUAAGAUGACUAUAGGUGAAAGCUUAUUUCUCUUCGGAGCAUUUUACGAGGUGCUGCAUGGUUGUCGUCAGCUCGUGCCGUGAGGUGUCGGGUUAAGUCCCAUAACGAGCGCAACCCCUACUUUUAGUUGCCAACAGGUAAUGCUGGGGACUCUAAAGGAACUGCCUACGUAAGUAGUGAGGAAGGUGGGGAUGACGUCAAAUCAGCACGGCCCUUACGUCCAGGGCCACACACGUGCUACAAUGGCCGAUACAGAGGGCAGCUACCUGGUGACAGGAUGCAAAUCUCCAAAGUCGGUCUCAGUUCGGAUCGAAGUCUGCAACUCGACUUCGUGAAGUUGGAUUCGCUAGUAAUCGCGCAUCAGCCAUGGCGCGGUGAAUACGUUCCCGGGCCUUGUACACACCGCCCGU
RNAcentral lists this ribosomal RNA (494 nucleotides) under uncultured bacterium. RNAcentral's name for it is "bacterial SSU rRNA". It matches the Rfam family "Bacterial small subunit ribosomal RNA", at positions 903 to 1397 of the family's 1533-position model. The record is from RNAcentral.